GACGUGCGAACGAGAGAAGGAACCAAGGGAACCAAAACCCUAAACAACCUAAAAUCAUCAAAUUGAAAGGGGGAUCGAGGGCUGAUUGAAUGCAUGAGUCUAGAUACCCUUUAAUCUAAGUGUAUUGAUCAUAAGGAACGUGUCAAGGAGAGCUCAAGCAUAGGAGGAUAACGGGUCAAGAUAAGGCAAGGUGACAAAUACACUUAUUGGAAUACUCAAGGUAAGUGAUUUCUAUAAUCACUUCUUUAGUUGUUUAAGUAAUAUAAUGUUUUAAUUAUUAAGUUCAUAUGAAGUUGAGGUUAAAUCAAUGGAUUAUUUUGAUAAAUGCACGAAUGGGUCGAAUAAUUCAUAGAUGAAUAACAAGCCGAAUACGUAUAAGUUAAGGAAUUCCUUAACUCGGAUGCUGGACUUCAAGAUCACGUGAUAGAAUAUUAAAUUACAAUCAUAUAGGAAGAAACGUGACGCAAAACGGACGAAAAAUGAGAGAGUUAUGUCCGUUUCAGUAAGGAUUAAUGGCUAGGAAAAGUGCAGAGUUGACACGGCCGGGUGGUGAACUGACACGGCCGGGUGAAGGUUCUGUCAAAAAUAUUAUUUAUGUGAUUUAUGCGCCGUAGGCUUCGGUAUAUUAUCCGUGAACUACGACGGGCCUCCCAAACAUGAUGUCGAGUGUUUCCUUGAUGAUUAUAAGUUGUAAACCCAAGUCUAAGCCUCAUGUAAUUUAUAUAAGAGUGUGAUAGAUGUAUGUAAUGAAGUUGGACAUGUAUUACAUGUAAAUGUAUACAAAAAUACGUACGGAACACGUAGGUAUGAAUACAUGAUUGUAAGUAUGAUUAAAUGUAUAUUAGGUAUGUAGAUGUGUAUGAUUGUAAGUUUGUAUGUGUGCAAGUAUGUGCGAAUGCAUGAUUCGGAUGCAUUUGAGAAUUAGCGUUACUAAUAAUGCCCUUGGGUUUGGAAUAUAAGUUGAUUGGAUGCAUUUAAAUGGUUAACGUCCUUUUUAUGAAGAUGUAGUAAAUGAAUAUGUUGAGAUUACGGGUUUGGCUAACCAAGUUAUUAUUGAGUAUGUUUGAAAGUGCAGGUGAUGAAUGUCGGACUUUCGAAGUGUUGAUAUAAUAAUGAAACGGUUGAAUGUUGAAAGGAUAAUCGGACUGAAGUAACUUAUGCGGUUAGAAUAUGCUAUGGACGUUUUAGUUUAUACAAUAUUAUAUGUUUGGUCGUCACCAUCUACUAACAGGUAAAUCCUCAAUUUUGGCGACUUGGAGAAUCGGAGCGAGCGCGUGUUCGUGUUAUGCGAUACCAAACGCUUCCGCUAGUUUGUUCAAAUGUUUUUGACCCAAAAUUUGUUGUAUUGGUUUUUAGUAGUAUCUUGUUGAACGAAUUGUAGAAUUGUAUCUAGUUUGUUUAUGUUUAAAACAGGGGUAUGCUCGUUUUAUGGACGGGUCAUGCCCGAUUUUUUGUUAAAUUAUAGUUUGAUAAUAUCACAUUUAGGAAGGUGAAA
This is a long non-coding RNA of Helianthus annuus (common sunflower), 1495 nucleotides long. RefSeq lists it as uncharacterized. The record is from RefSeq and is a predicted model, not a curated record. Lineage: Eukaryota; Viridiplantae; Streptophyta; Magnoliopsida; Asterales; Asteraceae. The transcript is spliced from 3 exons.